This is a long non-coding RNA of Myotis myotis, 1651 nucleotides long. RefSeq lists it as uncharacterized. The transcript is spliced from 3 exons. Lineage: Eukaryota; Metazoa; Chordata; Mammalia; Chiroptera; Vespertilionidae. The record is from RefSeq and is a predicted model, not a curated record.
CCCUCGUCCUGUUUGAGAUUAACAUAUGUGCAUUGGCUUAAUUCAUUGAUAGCCACCUGAACUGCUGCGGGUGUGGUACACGCUUUAAAAAUGGGGAUCCUGACCAACCAAAUGCUCCUGUGUUGAGACAGCCACAAAGGCACGUCCUCUUGUCAGUCGGGCAAGCGAUGCCACUCCACGCUCCUCUUCCUGCCAGAGGACAGAAGAAUGGCCAGUACCUCCUGAUUGAGACGCGACCAAGCUCUCGGGUGAGGAAGGCUGGCCCUGUACAUCCGGACUGGGACGGCACCACCGGGAUCCCCCAUUAAGCCUGCACCCGUAGCAUCAGGAACUUGUAUUCGGAACACAGCUGCGAAGGUCACAGUAAUUGAUGUUCGAACAGCAACAAGAGAAGAUUCUCCUGAGUGAAAAACAGAGUGAAAAAGAAAAAGUGAAAACUCACCAGAAAGGUGGAAAUUCACUGUGCACAAAGCCCAGUCCAGCUUCAGAGUCGCAACCAUAAGUGGGAUGGGGACAUUUCAGUAAUCAGCCAAGUUAUAAUGGGGAAGAAUUCGAGUAAAAGGCAAAAACAUCAUUGUAAGUUUUUAGCUUGCAUGCUCAAGGAUAAAAGAAUUGAGGUGUCAAAAGAUACUGUCUUAAAUCAGGCUCAAGGUUAAUGAGUGCCUUUGUCAUCUUUAACUAUGUGGGCUCUUGUUUGAACUACUACAUGGCCACUUCGUAUUGAGGAUCAAAAGCCUACAAAACCUAAGGCCCUGGAUCCUCCACCUCUGGUGUGGGAAGGCUCAUCAACUAGAGAAAAUGGGGCCAACAGUCCUUUUAUAAAAGCACUCUUUAAUUCUUUGUCUGAAAAUACCACAUGACUCCUUGGGACUGGCAGAUUUUAGCUAAAAUGACUUCAGAUGCCAGUCAAUGCUAUGGAGAGCAGAAUAUGAUAAGACCUGUAAACAGGCUCUUUGUGGGUGUUCACUGGAAACCACCUGAGAGCCCUCUGGGCCUCAUUCUGGCUGUAAUUCCUGGGCACUAUAAAACAUCUGAAAGAUCCAUGAAAAGAACUCUGAUUUAUUCAGUCUUGCCUAAAAGAAUCAGUAGCUAGCCAGACCAUUACUGACUUUCCCCAGACCAAACAGGAUGUGGUGGUGGGGAGAAAGAAUACGAGCAGUACACAUGGCUGAUAACACAGGCCCUAGGAUAAUUCCCCUAGAUAAAGGUAGGUAAAGUUAACUAAAAAUGGCCCCAGCACAUUAAUUACUAGGUCUCUUGGUGAUCCUGUAAAAUGGACACCCGCUCUCGGGAGUGUUAUUAAAAGUCUCAUUUUCACCAUGUUUUUGUUUCCCAGUCCAUCAUUUGAAAUUUAAGUAAGAUGAGUCAUUUCUCACAAUCUGGGGACACAUCCGGGACUUCUAUACCCAUGAACAGAAAAGGGCUAGCUCAAGAGAAGGUGCGUGCCACCUGAUUUUGGGUGGCCUCUUGGCCUAAGCCCAAGACUAGUCUUUUUUUUUUUUCUUUGGAUGGCAAAAAUGACACAAGGAAAAUAUACAGGCUGGGUUUUGGAAACAAAAUUAAUGUUUCCAUGAUAAUGGGCAGUUCUUGAAUAACGAUGAACCACAUUCCAAGGUUGCCUCCCAGGUCCUGGGGGCACUCUUGUUUUAUA